Molecule: ribosomal RNA, 440 nt
Filed under: uncultured bacterium
Lineage: Bacteria
Description: partial 16S ribosomal RNA
Rfam family: Bacterial small subunit ribosomal RNA
Source: RNAcentral
CCUACGGGAGGCAGCAGUGGGGAAUAUUGGGCAAUGGGCGCAAGCCUGACCCAGCAAAGCCGCGGGAAGGAAGAAGGCUUUCGGGUUGUAAACUUCUUUUCUCAGGGACGAAGCAAGUGACGGUAACUGAGGAAUAAGCCACGGCUAACUACGUGCCAGCAGCCGCGGUAAUACGUAGGCGGCAAGCGUUAUCCGGAUUUACGGGGUGUAAAGGGCGUGUAGGCGGGACGGCAAGUCAGAUGUGAAAAUCACGGGCUCAACCUGUGGGCUGCAUUUGAAACUGUAGUUGUGGAGUACUGUAGAGGCAGACGGAAUUCCUAGUGUAGCGGUGAAAUGCGUAGAUAUUAGGAGGAACACCAGUGGCGAAGGCGGUCUGCUGGACAGCAACUGACGCUGAGGCGCGAAAGCGUGGGGAGCAAACAGGAUUAGAUACCCCAGUC